GUUGCUCGUUGUUGUCUCAUUUACUCGGUGGUCACGUGUUCGAACCAGGAUUGGGUCAAACCAAGGACUUUAAAAUUAGUAUUUGAUGGUUUUUAUUGUAUAAAGGGCAAAGACUGUUCGGCUUGAAGUCAGAAUAAAUUGCCCGGGUAGGGAGACAUAAAAUUGAGAAUGGAAAUUGGGAAUGUGUGAAAGAGACAACAAC
RNAcentral lists this long non-coding RNA (202 nucleotides) under Mytilus galloprovincialis (Mediterranean mussel). Lineage: Eukaryota; Metazoa; Mollusca; Bivalvia; Mytilida; Mytilidae. The record is from RNAcentral.